RNAcentral lists this ribosomal RNA (892 nucleotides) under uncultured Actinomycetes bacterium. Its description in RNAcentral is "bacterial SSU rRNA". It matches the Rfam family "Bacterial small subunit ribosomal RNA", at positions 8 to 916 of the family's 1533-position model. Lineage: Bacteria; Bacillati; Actinomycetota; Actinomycetes. The record is from RNAcentral.
AGAGUUUGAUCCUGGCUCAGGACGAACGCUGGCGGCGCGCCUAACACAUGCAAGUCGAGCGAGAACCAGGGCUUGCCCUGGGGACAGCGGCGAACGGGUGCGUAACACGUGAGCAACCUGCCCCAAAGACCGGGACAACCCGAGGAAACUCGGACUAAUACCGGAUACCCUCACCGGGUCGCAUGGUCUGGUGAGGAAAUGGAUUCCGCUUUGGGAUGGGCUCGCGGUCUAUCAGCUUGUUGGUGGGGUAACGGCCUACCAAGGCAACGACGGAUAGCUGGUCUGAGAGGACGAUCAGCCACACUGGGACUGAGACACGGCCCAGACUCCUACGGGAGGCAGCAGUGGGGAAUCUUGCGCAAUGGGGGAAACCCUGACGCAGCGACGCCGCGUGCGGGAUGAAGGCCUUCGGGUUGUAAACCGCUUUCAGCAGGGACGAAAUUGACGGUACCUGCAGAAGAAGGCCCGGCCAACUACGUGCCAGCAGCCGCGGUAAUACGUAGGGGCCUAGCGUUGUCCGGAAUUAUUGGGCGUAAAGAGCUCGUAGGUGGUUCGGCAAGUCGGAUGUGAAAUCUCCACGCUUAACGUGGAGGGGCCAUUCGAAACUGCUGUGACUUGAGUCCGGUAGGGGAGUGUGGAAUUCCCGGUGUAGCGGUGAAAUGCGCAGAUAUCGGGAGGAACACCAGUAGCGAAGGCGGCACUCUGGGCCGGUACUGACACUGAGGAGCGAAAGCGCGGGGAGCGAACAGGAUUAGAUACCCUGGUAGUCCACGCCGUAAACGUUGGGCACUAGGUGUGGGACUCUAUCGACGGGUUCCGUGCCGUAGCUAACGCAUUAAGUGCCCCGCCUGGGGAGUACGGCCGCAAGGCUAAAACUCAAAGGAAUUGACGG